CUCGCGCGCUCUCUCUCUCUAGCUCUUUCCCGGCAGAUCAGGAGACUUCGGCUCCGCUCGGAGAAACAGCACAGGAUUUUAUGGUGGAAAACCGUUUCAUAGUUUUACCUUUUUCUAGGGACCGGCUGUAUGAUUAAGCUACAAUCUUCAAUGAGUAAGCAUAUCCCACAGUUCUGUGGUGUUCUGGGUCACACAUUUAUGGAGUUUCUGAAGGGCAGUGGGGACUACUGCCAGGCUCAGCACGCUGCCUAUGCAGACGAGUGAACAGCCAAACUCGCCAUCGAUCCAACGCACUUGAGCCACAGGAGGGACCCCGGAAAGUUGGCAGGACCGGGACUCCUCCCAGAACCAGCGAUAACUCGGCCUGGAUGGGGUAACUCCACCUGCUGCACACUGCCCUCGUCGGCUUCCGCCUGGCCAGAAUCAAGGUGGAACCAGCCUUGGUUUUUUUUUUCUUCCUUUUCUUUUGUUUUAUUCCAAAGGAGAGGGUUUGAGUUACUUUUCCAAUUGUCCGCCCUUCUCGGCUGCCAACUUCCCAAAUUUGCCUGUUACUGUUCUUUUUUGGGGUGUUUUGUUUUUAUUUUAUUUUGACACUUAGCCUUGCCAACCUCGAAGAAGACUGGAGGAUUUUUUUCUUUCCGAGUUCCUCAAAACUUGUUGGACAUUUGUUUGACAUUCCCUCCGAGUUUAACUGUUUACAUUAGUGUUUACUCUGUGGAAGACAUUUUAGUUUUGUUAUACAUUUUUUCGCAUUGUCACAAUGGCUCGAAUGAACAGACCAGCCCCUGUGGAGAUUACCUACAAAAACAUGCGGUUCCUCAUUACCCACAAUCCCACCAACGCCACCCUGAACAAGUUCAUAGAGGAGCUGAAAAAAUAUGGAGUCACCACGGUUGUGAGAGUUUGUGAGGCCACCUAUGAUGCCACCCUGGUGGUGAAAGAGGGAAUCCAGGUUCUGGAUUGGCCAUUUGACGAUGGAGCUCCUCCCUCCAACCAGAUCGUGGAUGAUUGGCUGAACCUGCUGAAGCUGAAGUUCAGGGAGGAGCCCGGCUGCUGCAUCGCUGUGCACUGUGUAGCAGGGCUGGGGAGAGCUCCUGUUCUGGUGGCACUCGCUUUGAUUGAAUGUGGGAUGAAGUAUGAAGAUGCUGUCCAGUUCAUUCGACAUAACCUGAUACUGUGAUACGUAAAGCAGGGAGGCCUGAGUCAUAUCUAUAAAUAGCGGAGAUGUCAGAGAGUGAGAUAAGGAUGAUUCAGAAGCGCAGAGGAGCGUUCAACAGCAAGCAGCUGAUCUACCUGGAGAAAUAUCGUCCAAAGAUGCGCCUGCGUUUCAAAGAUUCCAACGGCCAUCGCAAUAACUGCUGCAUCCAAUAGAGCCAAACAUUGAGCCACGCCAACCCUUCCCCAACCUACCCUCCAACACAGAAGAGUUUAAUUAAACCUUGCUAGCUUAUAACCUGGCAGGCUUCCUUUUUCUUUUUUUUCUGUUUUUCUUCAUUGUGUUGAAGUAUUUUAAUUUGGAAAACCAUGCUUGGUAAAUGAAAUUUCCCCUUCCCUUUCUAGUUUCAAAAUUAAAUGUCAAAAAAAAAUGAAAAAGAAGAGUUGUGUGAACCGAGUUUUUUCUUCAUGUGCCCAGGAAAAAAAAAAUAGGAAGAGUCGUGUAUCAUUGUAAGAUGUUGGAUUAACUGUUUUCUGCAAAUGCAUCCCAAAGAUUUUGAUUGGCCCGUGCUUUCAUAUCGCCUGAAAAUGUGUUUAAAAAAAAAAAAAGAAAAUAGGAAAAAGAAAUGUUUUCUUGAUGUGAACAAUUAUGUGUAUCCUGUUCAAUUUUAGGAUUCAGUUUCAAGACUGACUAGAAAGAGGUAUGCCUUUCUUCAAAUCAGAUGGAUCAUCCAUAAAUGCCUUACAAUCGGAAGUGGAACAAAGGCAAUCGGGCGGGAGUCGGCUCCUGUUGGCAUUUGGAAAAGGUGUUUCAUUUUUCUACUUGGAACAAAAAAAAAAAAACCUAAACUGUUGCCUUUGUCUUGUGCAGGAAGUCUUACACACACUUAUGCCCUUUCAGUAACUAUUUUUUAUUAUAAAUGCUUAACUGUUGCAAUAUUUGUCAAUUGAAAGUCUAGGAACUUUUUAGUCUUUAUCAGACCUUCUGUUUACUUAUUAACUGCCAUGUUAAAAUAAAAAUGUGAUCUUUUUCUUUUUUCCUUUUUUUUUUUUUUUUUUGGUUUAUUUUUGUUUUGUUUGUGUGUGUGCGCUUCAAACUGGACUUCCAACAUCUGCAAUAUUUUGUAUGCCUUUUUAUUUGAUGUCCAUAACUUAAGACUUGGAUACUUGAUGAUUUUAUGUAUUUGAAAAUGUGUACUAUUAUUAUUAUUAUUAUUAGGUUGGCUAUUUAUACUAUCAAUGGAUGUGUGAUUUAGUACAGUGAGCAACAAAGUUUUACCUGUUCACCAACUUGUGAGAGUACAUUAAAUGAUACACUGAAAAAAGA
Molecule: RNA transcript, 2482 nt
Organism: Oreochromis aureus
Lineage: Eukaryota; Metazoa; Chordata; Actinopteri; Cichliformes; Cichlidae
Gene: ptp4a1
Gene name: protein tyrosine phosphatase 4A1
Exons: 7
Source: RefSeq, a predicted model, not a curated record